Molecule: ribosomal RNA, 253 nt
Filed under: uncultured bacterium
Lineage: Bacteria
Description: partial 16S ribosomal RNA
Rfam family: Bacterial small subunit ribosomal RNA
Source: RNAcentral
GACGUAGGGAGCGAGCGUUGUCCGGAUUCAUUGGGCGUAAAGAGCGCGUAGGCGGCCGUGCAAGUCGGAUGUGAAAAUCCGGGGCUCAACCCCGGACGUGCAUCCGAUACUGCUCGGCUUGAGGCAGGUAGGGGAGAUCGGAAUUCCUGGUGUAGCGGUGAAAUGCGCAGAUAUCAGGAGGAACACCGGUGGCGAAGGCGGAUCUCUGGGCCUGUCCUGACGCUGAGGCGCGAAAGCUAGGGGAGCGAACAGG